This 495-nucleotide ribosomal RNA is filed under the name Triticum aestivum (bread wheat). RNAcentral's name for it is "partial small subunit ribosomal RNA". Lineage: Eukaryota; Viridiplantae; Streptophyta; Magnoliopsida; Poales; Poaceae. The record is from RNAcentral.
AGGAAGAAUGGAUGUUCUAACUUGGAUUGUGACGGCUUUGUACCUGUAAACUUGGCUACUAUUACUCCUGGAGAUACUUUGGAGCCAUCUCAUGGACACAUGAAUAUUACAUUGAAGAUAUUUAAGAGUAAAGAAGAUGGAGAUUGGUGGCUACACUUUGGACAUGAUAUCGAUAAUCUUAGCCCAGUAGGGUAUUGGCCAAAAAGUCUUCUCAAUGGCAUGCAAGACCAUGCCGACGAUAUAGAAUGGGUAGGAAGUACUUUUUCCUACUCUGGGGAGAUUAGUCCACCGAUGGGCAACGGGCACUGGCCAAGAAGCAAUUCAGCAGCAUCUUUUCGGAAUGUUCAGUAUAUUGAUAGGAAUGGUAAAGGCUAUUAUCCUCCUAUGGGUAGUCUUCAUGCUUUUGAGAGCCACAAACAAUGCUAUCGGACUAGUGUAUUUCAGCUUCAGGUCCAAGGCAACAUGUUCUACUAUGGGGGCCCAGGUGGUUGCACU